Labrus mixtus (cuckoo wrasse) is the source of this 2590-nucleotide long non-coding RNA. RefSeq lists it as uncharacterized. The record is from RefSeq and is a predicted model, not a curated record. The transcript is spliced from 2 exons. Lineage: Eukaryota; Metazoa; Chordata; Actinopteri; Labriformes; Labridae.
ACACCGUCAAAUAAUUUCGUCAUCAAUUGGAUACACUUGAUUUGUGUUGACGUCAGUGGGUGUGUUAUAAUGCGUGUGUAUGCAAGCGUGUGUGCCAGCUUGUGUGUCAGCAUGUGAACACAAGCAAGAACCUGUUGAGUCCGGUCAGUGUCGGCUGCGAUCACAUUUCUAGAUUGUUCAACCUGUCUGCAGACUAAUCUGUGAUGAGUAAUGACUCAUUUAACAAUCAGGGAGCUGAGCCGAAGCCAGCAGUGGAUGUGCAGGGGGCUAAAUGCUGUUAAUUGAUUUAUGUCAUGGAUAUCGCCAAACAACAGUUUCAGAAGAGAUAGUUUUGGGUGCUGAAAGAUGAUAUUUAGGGUAAGCUUAACAUGAUCAAUUGCACCUUAAGUGUCGUUUUUUCCUGUAACAUUUUACAGGAAACUCUAUGAUUGAGUAGUUGUAAAUAAAGAGGAAUGAGGACAAACGUUUAAAUGGUGCAAAGACAUAUCAGCAAACACACACACACACACACACACACACACACACACACACACACACACACACACACACACACACGUACAGCUGCCAUCUAGAGCCCCUGGCCAUUGUUUCCACCUCCGAUUUGGACAGGCUUUUUUUAUCUCCCUCCCUGGAGAAGCAGUUUGGUCCUGAGAGUAGGAUCAUACACAUCACCCCUGUUUACCGUCCUCUUUAUUGCACGUGUAAAGACAAUUAAACACAUGUAAAGACACAAACAUACAUUGCAAAGUAAAGUAAUAGUUGGCCCUGAAUCUUCCAGAUAAAGACCCAGUUUGAGCAACAAGGUCGCAUUGUUUGUGUGAAAACACAGCCAUGUUCUGUGUCCUUGUAGGGGAGAACGCCAGCUACGUUUUGUCUCACAUGUAACCUACAGCAACAUAUGCAUCCCAUAAAAUGAUCAGAUUUUUAUGAAGGGGUUUGUUUGCCCUUUGAUAAAAAUAAAAAAAUCUGAAAUGUAGAAAAAUAUGAUAUUUAUUAUCAUUAAACUGAUUCUCUUUUACCAGCAACGGGCCAAUUUAACCUUUAACAACACAUUUGAUAACACAUUAUUUACCCUAGGAAGGAUCCUAAGUUAGCAUUCAACCACUAGCUAAUAAACGGUCAGUUAGGAAAAUAGCGUUAGCUAGCAUUAGCAUUAGCAUUCAAUAGGACUACUCUCCUUUUCCCAGUGUACAAUCACCAGCACAAGCACUGAAUGCUUACAUUAGCUGUUGCAUUUUUACAAUCCACUUCGCUGUAGUUGCUGAACAAUCUGGAUCAGCAACAUGAUGUGACACAUUCUCUACACUUCUAUGAUUUGCAACCUUAAACACACCUCAACGACAGAUCCUUUUCAUAACAGCAUGGCAGCUUCCCACCUAAAGCAGGACCUCAAAGGUAAAUGGCUGCUGUUUGAAUUGUGAAUGAUCUAGACACUGACAGGUUGACACAUAAACCGCAGCACAACAUUUGAAGACUGAGUAAAGAUAAAACGCAGACUGAUCAACUACAUCAGAUUAAGCCACACUCUCAGGCUCUUACAGAGUCUUUAUUUAGUUUAUCUACUCAAACAUUACUGCAGUGGAGGAAAUGGUGUCUAUUUUCAAAAACCCCACAGUAAAACGUAUCACUUUUGUUUGCCCCUCUUUUCUCUCUCUCUCUCCCUCUAACUGUGUGUGUUUUUCUCUCCCUCACAUUUGCAUGGUAGCGGAACAGCUUUGCAUGACUGACCGUGCCUGGUGUCCCCUGGCUGUUGGCGGCUGUGCUGCAGGGGAAGCUUAACACCCGCACAGGGACAUUUGAUUAUUCAAAGCACACACACACAUGGCUGCACUGGAGGCCAGUGGCAGUGAUGUGUAUCAGAGGUGGAGGAAGAAGGGUGGGAUGAUGGAUGGAGAUUUGAAUGGUUUGAAUCUUGAGCUGCAGCUGUGAUUGUGGUCCUGAAAUGAAAAUUUGCAAAAACAAACUUAUUUCCGGUAGAGGCUAUUUUGUUUAAAGUUAAGUUUGGUAUCAACUUUUGUAUUAGCCUAGGUUAGAAGUUUUGGCCUAUGACUUCCAAAUUCAUUAAUAAUCAUAACAUCAUAUGUCAAAAGCUGCAGAGAGGGCAAGAAACAAUCAAACUACAGGUUUUAUUUGCUUUAUUCACCCUUAAACUGACAGUCAAUACCAGUUUAGAAACUGAAUUCAUGUGUCCUGCUCACCAUUUACACAUUUCUCUGUUCAUUUGAAAAGUUAGGGGCCCUUUUUUUUUCAUUGACAAGUGCAACGCUUGAGAUUUGGGUGCACUGGCUUUUUUGAUGUAUGUGCAGCAGUGCAAAAUACAAACAGACUAAGUGAAGUGGAAUAUAUGUCGAGCAGAGGGUGUGGUGAAUAACAAAUACGUCUCAGCCAGUCACAUGAUUGGACGCAUUGCUUUGAAACAGCUGUGCAAAUGACAAGAACACAUAACGACAAUAGCUUGGCAAACAUACACUUUUUCAGUUAUUUUUUUGUUGUCUGAAUAGAGCAAAUAAACAUGGAGUGGAUACACUGCACCACAAAUCUGCAGCCAGAUUCAAUUGAGUUGUACUUGCAUUUAGUUUGUUCAAUGAUG